This 3256-nucleotide long non-coding RNA is filed under the name Homo sapiens (human). RNAcentral's name for it is "non-protein coding LINC01127:22". Lineage: Eukaryota; Metazoa; Chordata; Mammalia; Primates; Hominidae. The record is from RNAcentral.
AAUCUACAGGAGGAGGAGAAGAAUCAUCCACACCACUCUUCGCCACCCGGCUGGGAGCAAUUCCAGAAGGCAGGGUCUGCUUGGGCAGUUGAGAGGCCUUGGGUCAUGCCGCUUAUUGAAACCAUCAGCAGGAGGAGUUUGGAUAAAGCUGAAGUUCCACUUAGGCGCUCGGUGAUCCAUCUGGGAAGACAGUGGCCACAGCCCAACAGGAGGCCGGGGAACCUGGACCCCACCAGCCAAGCUUUGAGAAGCAGAUAGGCUUGAAUGAGCAUGGAAUGUAUCUAUUUAAAAAGCAGCUGGAAGUCUGUCAAGUGCAUUCUGGAAAUGGAUUCAGGCUAACAGAGUGUUCUGAAUAGAGACGCCUAAAACAAGAGCCAAAGACAUAGCAAUGGAGAACGUGGGUGGUACAGCCCUCCACCCUGGCGAGCAGCACAUUAGAAUCACGUAGGAGCUUAAAAAGUACUGACUGGCCUGGUCUUUUUCGGUGUGAAGGUGGGAUGCAGGCUUCCUGGGGUUAUCCUCUCGUACAGCCAGAGUUGAGAACCAUCUGAGUAGCGCUUGUCACACUUCUGGCCACAUCAGAAUCGUCUGAGGGACUUGUUCACUGCAGGUUGCUGGGUCCCAUCUCUAGCCUCUGAUCCAGUAGCCUGGGGUGGGGCACAGGAUGUCCUGCUGCUGGGGUCUGGGCAGCGCUAUGAGAACUGCUGACGUUGGAGCUCGAUCAGGUGGUCCCUCACUCCCUGACCCAGGGCAUUUGCUGCUUCCUGUCUCUGCCAUUCUUUUCUCAACCUGGGGCACUUGCUUUUCUCGCUAUGCUGCCCUGCCCUUUGCUGAGGCCUGGGCUAUCCCUGGCAGGGUGCAGAAAAAAAAUUUUUAAGUUACUUUUCUCAGCCCAAAGGAGACUGGAAUGCUUCACAAGGGAUUCUACUUGACAGGCAAUUGGACCACCCAAAUGGCAAACUAAAAGCAUAGAAGCGGACACCAGAGGCUCCUGGACCUGAGAUGUGGCCCUGGAAGUGACCAGAUGUGGUCUCAAGAGAUGGGGGCCCAGGGCUAGGAAUGCCGCCAUCCGGGGAGGCCCUAGAGCAGAGCAGAGCAGCUGUGGGCUGGUGCCAAGCUCACUCCUGCUUCUCUCUGCACGUCUCCCUCAUUCUUUUCUCUCUGAACUGUGACCCUUUUGGCCCCUCUGAGUACCAGGUGGGACAAGGUGACCCCUCAGCACUUGAGUUUACACCUUAGAUGUGUAGGUCCUCACAGAGGCCAACUUAUCUCCUUCUGGGACCAAAUUCCAAAUUCCUAAAGAAAAAACAAACCAAAAACGGAUAUGAUAAACCUAUCUCAGUGGUCAGCCCCUGGGGCGCAAACAUUCCCCUGAGUCAGGGAAGGGUGACUGUAACACAGGUAUCAUUAUGAUUUAGGUGUGGCAAGACUAGCAGGUCAGGGGUGCCUGCCAUUGAAAAGACUGUCAUACAGUUCCCAGGUGGAAGGGGUGUGCCAGGAGGGGCAGCCAGAAGGCAGAUGGAGGGAAGCUGCCUUUAUGGUGUUUCUGCUGGGAGGCACAGGUGCGGUGGAGGAAGCAGGCUUAGGAUUGGUUCGUGUGAAUGUCUUCAGUGGGCUCUGGUUAUCUGGUACCUGGCCCGGGGUGAUGAGGGUAGAUAGAGGCCCAGAAGGUGAGAGCCUAAUACCCAGAGCGGUCGGGGGGGUGGGUAGGCUCAGGGCUGGUUGGUUUGGGAAGCAUGUUUGUGGGCCCGUUGGUUACCGUCUCAAGGAAUGGGCUAGGCCUGGGUGUGGCUGUCCUUCUAGGAUCAGCAAGGCAGCAAAUAUCAAAGCACCAGAAUACACAAAGUAAAAGACUGCAUUAAUACAGGGUAGUUUACAAAGAAAUGGGAAAUUGUUGGUUCUGAGCUGGGUGGGGAUUGAAACGGUGUUCCCUGCAGAUCCAUUUAAAGUCUCUCUGUAAAUACGCGUUGGUGUGUAACUGUUCCUUGUCUCUAACCUCAGCCAGCCCCUCCCAUGCCAGGUGAGGGGUCUUCCCACCUCCCUUUUCCUCUCUGGGUGUCCCUCCAUUAUGAUCUGGGGACCAAGGCUGGCUGUAGCAGUGUGCCUCCAUGGCCUAGGGCGGUUGGCAAAUGCAAUUUCUUCGGCAGUGCUGGAUAAAGUGGGAUGAUGCAGUGACCACACAGAAUGUCAUUUCUGAUGAAAGCUGGCAUGCCAGCCCGUGACAGGACACAGAGGAGCGUGGAUUCCCCUUCAUGGUUGACUUCAGCCAAGGCCAUCAUCCCCGCUGCCAAAGCCUGCCCUGAUUGCCUGCCCUGGGGGAGAGAAGUGUUUUGAAGAUGACAAAUCAAAGUCAGGUCCUGCAUGGAGUUUGCGUGCCUGACAGCCUGGCUAGCACAGGAGGACAUGCAGGUGGAAUUUGUGCAAGCCUGUUAUUUUCUGUAACACAAUACACACUGAGAAGGCAAUGGGUACCUUGGACCCUGCAGGCCAAUUCAAGCACCAUCACUACUUUUCAGAAGUGUGGGGCAUAGAUGUCAACUGAGCCUAGCAAGAUGUCCUAUGUUACCAAGAGACUAUUAGAAAGCAGAGCAGGUCUCAAGAUUCAAUGAAACAAUUGCCUGGAAGCUGGAAGAUAAUAUGGAAGCUAGGGAUAUAAUAGAGUAUGUUGCUGGGAACGGUGGCUCCUGCCUGUAAUCGCAGCACUUUGGGAGGCUGAGGUAGGGGGGAUCACUUGAGCCCAGGAGUUGGAGGCCAGCCUGGGCAACACAGCAAGACCCCAUUUCUAUAAAUAAUUAAAAAAAAAAUUAGCUGGGUGUUGUGGUGCAUGCCUGUAUUCUUAACUACUCCAGAGGCUGAGGUGGGAGGAUGGCUUGAGUCCAGAAGUUCAAGGUUACAGUGAACUACGAUUGAGCCACACUGCAUUCCAGCUGGGUAACAGAGGGAGACUCUGUCUCUAAAAAAAAAAAUUAAAAAAAAAGUAGGGUGGGUGGUUGAGGGUUGUGCAGUGUGAGUGAGGGUGGCCAGAAAAACCAUUUCCGUGACAGUUACAAAGGCUGUGUGUGGAUGGUGACGCUGAGGUUUUAUCUUCAAGUGAGUUGUGCAUAUGAGGUUUGUUUGAUUCUAAAGCAUUUAUUUUCUAAAUGCAAACUUUUAGAAUAAAGUCUAGUUCCUGUUGCUCUAUUUUGGCAUAGGUUUUUAAUGUUUCAUAUACUUAGAACUUCAAAAUGGUGGUGGUUGGGGUCUGUCUUCUUACCUG